AGUGAACGCUGGCGGUAGGCCUAACACAUGCAAGUCGAACGGCAGCACAGUAAGAGCUUGCUCUUACGGGUGGCGAGUGGCGGACGGGUGAGGAAUACAUCGGAAUCUACUUUUUCGUGGGGGAUAACGUAGGGAAACUUACGCUAAUACCGCAUACGACCUACGGGGGAAAGCAGGGGAUCUUCGGACCUUGCGCGGUUGAAUGAGCCGAUGUCGGAUUAGCUAGUUGGCGGGGUAAAGGCCCACCAAGGGGACGAUCCGUAGCUGGUGUGAGAGGCUGAUAGCCCACCCGGGAACGGGGACAGGGUCCAGGCGCCUACGGGAGGCAGCAGUGGGGAAUAGUGGGCAAUGGGCGCAAGCCUGAUCCAGCCAUACCGCGUGGGUGAAGAAGGCCUUCGGUUUGUAAAGCCCUUUUGUUGGGAAAGAAAAGCAGCAGGUUAAUACCCCGCCGUUCUGACGGUACCCAAAGAAUAAGCACCGGCUAACUUCGUG
RNAcentral lists this ribosomal RNA (492 nucleotides) under uncultured bacterium. Its description in RNAcentral is "partial 16S ribosomal RNA". It matches the Rfam family "Bacterial small subunit ribosomal RNA", at positions 29 to 507 of the family's 1533-position model. The record is from RNAcentral.